RNAcentral lists this transfer RNA (73 nucleotides) under Marmota monax (woodchuck). RNAcentral's name for it is "tRNA.Ala". Lineage: Eukaryota; Metazoa; Chordata; Mammalia; Rodentia; Sciuridae. The record is from RNAcentral.
UGGGUUUUAGCUCAGUGGUAGAGCACCUGCUUAGCAUGCAUGAAGCAGUGGGUUCGCUCCUCAGCACACUUAA